This 757-nucleotide ribosomal RNA is filed under the name uncultured bacterium. Its description in RNAcentral is "bacterial SSU rRNA". It matches the Rfam family "Bacterial small subunit ribosomal RNA", at positions 97 to 830 of the family's 1533-position model. The record is from RNAcentral.
GGCAAAAGGGUGAGUAAUACACAGGUAAUUUGCCUUCUGGUUCGGAAUAACUUUGCGAAAGCGAGGCUAAUACCGGAUAAGACUACGGUUUCACAUGAAACUGAAGUUAAAGGCGGGGACCCCAACAGGGCCUGUCACCAAGAGAGAAGCCUGUGUCCUAUCAGCUUGUUGGUAAGGUAAUGGCUUACCAAGGCGAAGACGGGUAGCUGGUCUGAGAGGAUGGUCAGCCACACUGGGACUGAGACACUGCCCAGACUCCUACGGGAGGCUGCAGUCGAGAAUCUUUUGCAAUGCGCGAAAGCGUGACAAUGCGACGCCGCGUGAGCGAUGAAGCCCUUCGGGGUGUAAAGCUCUGUCAGCCCGGAUGAAUAUCCGUUCCCUAAUAAGGGACGGAGAUGACAGUACGGGCAGAGGAAGCCACGGCUAACUCCGUGCCAGCAGCCGCGGUAAUACGGAGGUGGCAAGCGUUGUUCGGAUUUAUUGGGUGUAAAGGGUGUGUAGGUUUCCUGAUAAGUCGAAUGUGAAAUCCCUUGGCUCAACCAAGGAACUGCGUUCGAUACUGUCAGGAUUGAGCACGAAAGAGGAGAGCGGAAUUCCCGGUGUAAGGGUGAAAUCUGUAGAUAUCGGGAGGAACACCAGUGGCGAAGGCGGCUCUCUGGUUCGAGGCUGACACUGAAACACGAAAGCAAGGGGAGCAAACAGGAUUAGAUACCCUGGUAGUCCUUGCAGUAAACGAUGGGCACUAGGUGUAUCCGUC